GACAGAGGAUGCAAGCGUUAUCCGGAAUUAUUGGGCGUAAAGCGCGCGCAGGUGGUUCCUUAAGUCUGAUGUGAAAGCCCACGGCUCAACCGUGGAGGGUCAUUGGAAACUGGGGAACUUGAGUGCAGAAGAGGAAAGUGGAAUUCCAAGUGUAGCGGUGAAAUGCGUAGAGAUUUGGAGGAACACCAGUGGCGAAGGCGACUUUCUGGUCUGUAACUGACACUGAGGCGCGAAAGCGUGGGGAGCAAACAGG
This 253-nucleotide ribosomal RNA is filed under the name uncultured bacterium. RNAcentral describes it as "partial 16S ribosomal RNA". It matches the Rfam family "Bacterial small subunit ribosomal RNA", at positions 524 to 776 of the family's 1533-position model. The record is from RNAcentral.